UGUACUCUCUAUUUUUUUCUGUGAAAGAGUGUUUGGAAAGUCAUUUCUUGUUGUUGUUAUGUUUGGUUUCUAGUGCACCCUGGGAAGCAUUGAUCUUGGACUUGGCUACUGUAUGGAAGACCAGUGUUCCUCUUAGCUGUUGGUGGAGACUCCUGUCAGUGCAGGCUACAGUGAAACUCUGUGAACAAUGCUCCCCAGUGUGUGCCUGGGAGGGCUGGCAUAUGGAGACCUCUCAUGGAGCCAAACGCAGGCUCUCUGCACUUCCUUCAGUUUUGCUUAAAUACAGGAUCCUGUUUGCCUUUGUCACCCCCUGCAGCACCACCAGACUUCAUUCACUGUGAAGCCUUGCCAGAUCUCUGUAAUAAAUUACCUGCUAGGCCAAGGCGGGAAAAGAGAAAAGAACAAGCUUCCCUUGCCAUUAGGUUGGCUGUGUGAUCAGUGCUGCCUAUGGAUGUGAGGGAAAGUGAUACAUGCUAUGCUCUGGGUUUGGAUGUAUCCAGGGUGCCUUUCUAGAAGUCUGUUUCCCUUUCAUAUUGACCUGAGAGGCCUUGUGUUGAAGGACCUUCAGACAAAAUGGAAAGAACCUGGAUUACCGAGUCAUCACUUGGAAGAAAGUGCCUGACCAGGAACAUCUAUGAAGCAGUUUGCAAAAGUGUGCAAUAAACCAUCCGUGUGUUAAGCCACUGAGAUUUCACACUUUGUUUUUUAAUACAUUAUAGUCCAGCUCAUUGGACUAACAGUUUCUCCAUCUCUUUAUCAAGAGCAUGAAUAGCCUUCCUUCAGAGUUUUUUCCAGCUCCAUAAAUUCAACUUAUUCUAAGGAGGCCAUCCUCCAGUCAGCUGGCUCCUUCCUGGUGCUUUGCUCAGGCUUCUUGGGUUCUGUCCUGCCAAUGUUCUUCCUCUCCAGGAUAGUUCUAUAUCUUACCUUGGAGAAGGAUCACGACCCCAGAGACACUCAGGAUGGAUAGGCUCUCAAAGCUCACUUACUCUACCUUACUUCCUAGUACCUAAGUCACCUCUACACUAUCCCUGCCGAGUGGUGGUUCAGGGUCUGGUUGAAAACCUCCAGUACCGUGAAACUCAUUGCUUUGACCAUACAAAAAUUCUUUCUCUACAU
Molecule: long non-coding RNA, 1116 nt
Filed under: Callithrix jacchus (white-tufted-ear marmoset)
Lineage: Eukaryota; Metazoa; Chordata; Mammalia; Primates; Cebidae
Description: lncRNA (ENSCJAG00000075961.1)
Source: RNAcentral